This 468-nucleotide ribosomal RNA is filed under the name uncultured bacterium. RNAcentral's name for it is "partial 16S ribosomal RNA". It matches the Rfam family "Bacterial small subunit ribosomal RNA", at positions 28 to 507 of the family's 1533-position model. The record is from RNAcentral.
GACGAACGCUGGCGGCGUGCUUAACACAUGCAAGUCGAACGGAAAGGCCCUGCUUUUGUGGGGUGCUCGAGUGGCGAACGGGUGAGUAACACGUGAGUAACCUGCCCUUGACUUUGGGAUAACUUCAGGAAACUGGGGCUAAUACCGGAUAGGAGCUCCUGCUGCAUGGUGGGGGUUGGAAAGUUUCGGCGGUUGGGGAUGGACUCGCGGCUUAUCAGCUUGUUGGCGGGGUAGUGGCUUACCAAGGCUUUGACGGGUAGCCGGCCUGAGAGGGUGACCGGCCACAUUGGGACUGAGAUACGGCCCAGACUCCUACGGGAGGCAGCAGUGGGGAAUAUUGCACAAUGGGCGGAAGCCUGAUGCAGCAACGCCGCGUGCGGGAUGACGGCCUUCGGGUUGUAAACCGCUUUCGCCUGUGACGAAGCGUGAGUGACGGUAAUGGGUAAAGAAGCACCGGCUAACUGCGUG